Long non-coding RNA from Catharus ustulatus (Swainson's thrush), 1388 nucleotides. RefSeq lists it as uncharacterized. The transcript has 2 exons. NCBI's taxonomy places the organism in Eukaryota, Metazoa, Chordata, Aves, Passeriformes, Turdidae. The record is from RefSeq and is a predicted model, not a curated record.
GUUACAACUGGUUUCCACACAGGAUUGUAACAGUAAAUUUUGCUGUAAAAAUGGCAGUUUCAUAUAAUUCAACAGUAGGAAAAAGCAUGAGGAAUCUUUUCUGUUAAUUUGUCAUUUGGUGGUAAGGUAUAUUGCAGUUAUGACAAAUGUAAUCAUAUUUCAUUGUUCUCUGCAGAAGAACUCUUGAUGAUGCCUGAAAUACAUGUCAGUACUGCAGGAUGAGAAAAAAUCCCUUAAAAUGUAAUUCUUGCAACAAUUGCAAUGCUGAACAUGAUGCAUAUCAAUAUCCCCUCUGCAACUGGUAUCUGUGGAUUCCUGUUGAUAAAGGGCUAAAAUGGAUAAAGGAGAGCUGCUUAUAGUGAGAAAUGCUUUUAGCAAGAGAGCAUCAAGAACAGAUUUCCUGGACUAGACCUUUCUUUCUGACUGCCACAUCAGUUGUGGAGCCAGCCUUCCUCCAACAGAGCAGAGCUACAUUCUGCAGUGAAGUGAUUCAGGAGCUGAGAUCUGUGACACACAAAUGGGGGCUUGCAGUUGAUGGGGUGGUUGUGCAUACAGCUGGUGCAUACUCUGAUCCUAACCUGUGUCAGUUCUGCUCCAGAAGGCACUGGGAGCUUGGAACAGGGCAAGGAUGGCACAGAACGUUUAUAGUUAAAGGCAAAGAUUAUGUUUUUCUCUCUUCUGUUUGCUUACUCAGUAAGGAAAGGAAAUUGUAACUGAUAUUUCUCAAUAAUAAACCCCUACAAAUGCAACAUGUCAUGUUUUCAUAUAAUUACAGGCCAGGAAUCACUGCCCACAGUCCUUCCACUGCAAAAAAACUUUGGAUCCAGAAGCAACUGAGGUGGUUUAGGAUUCAUUUCCAGAGGACUUGUGGAAAGAAUCAUAAGAGAGGGAGGAGAAGAAAAGGAAGAAAGAUGAAGUGCACCAUUAAGUAUACCCAGGGAACACAAUAAUACACUUUAUAGUCCAAAAACAUUAUACUUACACACUAUCAUGGACAAAAAAGGAAGGAAACCCAGUUUGUAGCCAGUCCAAAUAAAACUUCUGAUCACUAAUUUGGUUAGUGGGGAGAGAAGUGCACGAUUACACAUCAAUUCACUCGACACCAAUCCCCAAAACCACAUGCUCAUUCCCACUGAGAAAACAGACAGUGAAUAGGCUGAGGUUGUUGUGCAUGUGAUGCUUUUUCCACUCUUUCCUUCUCACUUAUCUCCCUCCCACACUGUUCCUUAGUGUUCCUGCCCUGGUGUAACCCCAGCUGCAGCUCACCCCACAAGGCUGCUCUCACUCUCCGAGCUGGAAUGCAAGAGAGAAUACGAAAAGCGAAAAAUCUCAUGGGUUGAGACAAAGACAGUCUAACAGAUAAAGCAAAAGCCCUGCUCACAAACAAA